RNAcentral lists this ribosomal RNA (651 nucleotides) under Apiomorpha amarooensis. RNAcentral's name for it is "partial 18S small subunit ribosomal RNA". It matches the Rfam family "Eukaryotic small subunit ribosomal RNA", at positions 63 to 518 of the family's 1831-position model. The record is from RNAcentral. Lineage: Eukaryota; Metazoa; Arthropoda; Insecta; Hemiptera; Eriococcidae.
GUGCAAGCCGUCCGCGCGCUAACUCAAAUUAGCCGCACACGGUGAAACCGCGAAAGGCUCAUUAAAUCAGUUAUGGUUCCUUAGAUCGUACCCACGUUACUUGGAUAACUGUGGUAAUUCUAGAGCUAAUACAUGCCAACAGAGUUCUGACCAGCGCCAUCGCCGCCACCGGGAGCNNNNNNNGUGCGCGCGCGAUGGAGUUUGCGGAAGGAACGCUCUUAUUAGAUCAAAACUGGCCGAGCGGGGUCGAUCGUUNNNNNNNGCAUGCAYGCGCCCACACGCGCGCCAUCGUCGGCGCAUCGUCUUCCGUGUAAGCGGCCCGCGCAAAGACUUGACGACUCUGAAUAAUUUCUAGCUGAUCGCACGGUCAAAAUUUUUUAUACAAANNNNNNNGAGCGCGCGCGCGCACACUUAGCACCGGCGACGUAUCUUUCAAAUGUCUGCCUUAUCAACUGUCGACGGUAGGUUCGACGCCUACCGUGGUGGUAACGGGUAACGGGGAAUCAGGGUUCGAUUCCGGAGAGGGAGCCUGAGAAACGGCUACCACAUCCAAGGAAGGCAGCAGGCGCGCAAAUUACCCACUCCCAGCUCGGGGAGGUAGUGACGAAAAAUAACGAUACGGGACUCAUCCGAGGCCCCGUAAUCGGAAUG